RNAcentral lists this ribosomal RNA (255 nucleotides) under Triticum aestivum (bread wheat). RNAcentral's name for it is "partial small subunit ribosomal RNA". The record is from RNAcentral. Lineage: Eukaryota; Viridiplantae; Streptophyta; Magnoliopsida; Poales; Poaceae.
UAUUCACCUCCCUUUUCAAAUAUACUAAUAACUUAUCGAAUUUUAUUUACUGUAGCAGUCACUGUAGCAUCAGCUGAACGCAGUUUCUCAAAGUUGAAGUUAUUGGGAAACUAUUUGAGAUCAUCAAUGUCACAGGAAAGAUUGAAUGGUCUGGCUACUUUAUGCAUUGAGAAAGAAAUGUUGAAUGAAAUAAAUACUGAUGUGAUUAUUGAUGACUUUUCUUCCAGAAGUGUUAGGAGAAACAACAAGAUCUGA